Long non-coding RNA from Engraulis encrasicolus (European anchovy), 2154 nucleotides. RefSeq lists it as uncharacterized. The record is from RefSeq and is a predicted model, not a curated record. The transcript is spliced from 5 exons. NCBI's taxonomy places the organism in Eukaryota, Metazoa, Chordata, Actinopteri, Clupeiformes, Engraulidae.
UAAUAAACCUGGACUUGAUGUACUAUCUGCUCAACUAGGAUAUUGUGCUGUGUAUUUUGUAUUAAGGAGGAUCCAUCAGCUCACUAACACGGGUGAUGGACAGGGACCAAAGAGGAGGCUCUACAACAUGAGGACAGACUGCGAUCCUCAAGUAGUCAGUCCAUGAGCCCACGUCUUCAGGCCAGGGACCUGAGAGGAAUUUCCAGUGACAUGGAUCAACAGAGAUCCUCAAACAGUCAGUCCAUGUGCCACGUUCCAGCCAGGGACCAAAAGGGGGGCUUUCGUCAUAGGGCCAGACAGACAUCCUCAAGCAAGAAAUAGAGAGAUGCAUCCAGGCCACCCACUAGGAGGUGGAACAUCUUACGAAGAGGUGGCUGUACCUGGCAGCAGACUGAGAUGGGGUGAGGAAGAGGAGAAGCACAGACCAAGAACGGAAUGUCAGACAUUUGCCCUUUUUAUGCCCAGCGCGUGCACACACACACACACACUGGCAUAUAAACAUGCACAAAGACACAGGCGCACGUGCACACACAUACACGCACUCUCAAACAAGAUGGGAGUCACUGGUGAUGUUGGCAAAUAAUCUGAAUCGGUACACACUGCAAUGAUUCCACCAUCAUGCCCCACCUACGCAAGUCCUGUCCUUCAGCAUUGACUUACUCCCCAGGUGUGGUGUGCCUUCAUCCGAACCACAAUGGCAUCCCAAGCAGCAACAAACACCUGCACACAUGCAUGCUACAGUACACACACAAACACACUGGACUAUGAACUAGGUCAGACACACACACACACACACACACACACACACACGCUCAAAGUAGCCAAGAUCGAAAAGGCUGCAUCAGUGGCUUGACUUCAUCCAUUUUUUGGAGGAACACCUUUGUCAAUUUUGAGGAACUUUGUUGUGGGAAGAUAUUUUAAAAUUUGAUAGUCAGUCUUGUAUACCCAUUCGCUUCACUAUGAUGUAUUUUGUAAUUGAAUAUGGAUGAUUUAUGCCACAGUGCUGAAUUAACACAUCUAGACAAAGAUGUCACCUUAAAAAGUAUGUUUGGUACCUGUGGGUCAAAUGUCUCAGGAGCUCCCUGACUGCAGAACGUCUCAGGAAAGGACUCAACUUUUUAUAUUGUAUGCAGGGUGCGAUUUGUCAGAAAACCAGAAGGGGGAUGUGUUUCAGAUGUCAAGCAAUAUCAAUGGAGUUACAUUAAACUAUGAUUAAAAUCAUGUGGAAAAAGUGACAAUAUCAAAACCAGAAGAGGGGACAAUCCCCCCAUCCCCCCCUACAAACCGCACCCUGACUGUAUGUAUUUGACAUGUUUGUCUAUAUGAUUAACACAUGAAGAGUUCAGAUGCAAAACCCCCCCAAGUGCCUUUUCAGAAAAUAAUAUUAAUUCAUUUUUAUUCAAUACAAAGCUAUCAAAAUUGCAUAUUUUUUAAAUUUUAUUUAUGUAAUGUAACUAUUUAUAUGUAUUAUCAAGUACAUGAAUGUUAACCAAACCAACAACAGGGUUUUCUAAAAAUAUAGAAGUGCAGGUCUUCUGAAAUGGAGUUAGGGGGGUUUUGCAUCUGAACUCUUCACAUGUUCAUAGAAGAAAAUACAAUGUACGACCUCAAGGUCUUGUGCGUUUUUCUCACCGAUAUCUUCUAACCGAUAUCUAAGGUUUAUGAGUUACAAAAUGUUUAUUUUGUUUGUUUUCUGAAAGUUUUUUUUAAAAACUCAGAGGGAUAUGUUAAGAAAGGUGUUAAUCAUUUGGUUUGUUUUUUGGAAAAUUCCAUUUAAAACAUAGGCUGUGAGUUUAAAAAAAAAGGUAUUUUGAUAAUUUUGUUUUCUUUUCUGAAAAUUCUACUUUAAAAUGUCAUACAUUUUCAAUUUCCAAAAUCUAUUGAAUGAAUGAAUGUUGUUGUAGCCUACUAAAGAUAAUAAAUGGCCAAUUUGCAUGAUUUUUUGUGGGUUUUAUUCUUUAUUGUUAUUAUUAUUAUUAUUGUGAAGGUUAAAUAUAUUCCGGCAUAUUUAUGGGUUUUAAUCGGCAGGGUUCUGGCAAUCUUGUGGUAGGCUCAUGGGCCAUUUCUGGGUCUUCUGGUAAACAUCUGGUAAGGUGCCGGCACUCUGUCGAACGUUCUUGGCAUUCUACUGGCUGCUUUCUGGCAUGAUUCCGG